This 814-nucleotide long non-coding RNA is filed under the name Pan troglodytes (chimpanzee). Its description in RNAcentral is "lncRNA (ENSPTRG00000053053.1)". Lineage: Eukaryota; Metazoa; Chordata; Mammalia; Primates; Hominidae. The record is from RNAcentral.
GUAUUUAUUAUUUUUACAUAAGAAAACAUUUAUAUGAGAAAAAGUAUCAGCAGAGCUUACACAGUGAUAGGAUUAUACAUCAUGAUUUCCUCUUUAAACAUCUUUAUAAUUAUCAAACAUGAGUGAUUAAAAAAACUGAAGCUAAAGGUAGCAAUAUUCUCUAUACUGGCAGAUUUUUCAGCAUUGCAUAUGAACCCACCUCCGGUAAGUGGGUUAUCUUUCUAAUUUAUGACUUCAGUGAAAUCUGUUUCCUGGCAAUGGUUGCCAGGGCACGCCUUCUCUCUUGUUCUCCGUCAUGCUUACUUUUAAGCCUAAGGGCAAGAAAGAAAUAGACAGAAAGCAAGAAGUAGCAUGAGCAUCUUUUUUUUUUUUUUUUUUUUUUUUGGCAUGUUGGAAAAAGGAGCUCUAAACACACUCCACUAAGCAUAGCACAUGCCUUGGAUUCAAGCAGUGGACCUCAAAGAGUAGCGUCUCCUUUUAAGCUUUGCAGGGCAAGUUUGGGGCACUGUCAGUGAAAAAUUGUCACUGCUUCUUGCCUUGGUGCUUGCCUGAACAACAAGGAGUUCUUCUAACUGCCUUAAAAGGAAUCUACUCCUCUCUCCCGCCACAGAUCAGGAGAUGGGGAGACAGAGGAAAGAAAGGAGAGAUCUGUGGAUCCCGUGAGCACCCCAAAUUGGAACCACUCCUUACCGUGUCUCAAGGAAGCAACAGACCUCCAAACUGCAUGGUGUACCUCAAAAGAGCAAGACCCAAGCAAAAAGCUGAGAGAAAAUGGUGGGUACAGAGUAGGAGUGAAACGAAGAAUGUCUUUCUG